RNAcentral lists this ribosomal RNA (434 nucleotides) under uncultured Lachnospiraceae bacterium. Its description in RNAcentral is "partial 16S ribosomal RNA". It matches the Rfam family "Bacterial small subunit ribosomal RNA", at positions 341 to 792 of the family's 1533-position model. Lineage: Bacteria; Bacillati; Bacillota; Clostridia; Lachnospirales; Lachnospiraceae. The record is from RNAcentral.
ACGGAAGGCAGCAGUGGGGAAUAUUGGACAAUGGGGGAAACCCUGAUCCAGCGACGCCGCGUGAGUGAAGAAGUAUUUCGGUAUGUAAAGCUCUAUCAGCAAGGAAGAAAAUGACGGUACUUGACUAAGAAGCUCCGGCUAAAUACGUGCCAGCAGCCGCGGUAAUACGUAUGGAGCAAGCGUUAUCCGGAUUUACUGGGUGUAAAGGGAGCGUAGACGGCAAAGCAAGUCCGAAGUGAAAUCCCGGGGCUCAACCCCGGAACUGCUUUGGAAACUGUUUAGCUAGAGUGCAGGAGAGGUAAGCGGAAUUCCUAGUGUAGCGGUGAAAUGCGUAGAUAUUAGGAGGAACACCAGUGGCGAAGGCGGCUUUCUGGACUGUAACUGACACUGAGGCUCGAAAGCGUGGGGAGCGAACAGGAUUAGAUACCCUGGUA